GACGAACGCUGGCGGCGUGCUUAACACAUGCAAGUCGAACGGAAAGGCCCUGCUUUUGUGGGGUGCUCGAGUGGCGAACGGGUGAGUAACACGUGAGUAACCUGCCCUUGACUUUGGGAUAACUUCAGGAAACUGGGGCUAAUACCGGAUAGGAGCUCCUGCUGCAUGGUGGGGGUUGGAAAGUUUCGGCGGUUGGGGAUGGACUCGCGGCUUAUCAGCUUGUUGGUGGGGUAGUGGCUUACCAAGGCUUUGACGGGUAGCCGGCCUUGGAGGGUGACCGGCCACAUUGGGACUGAGAUACGGCCCAGACUCCUACGGGAGGCAGCAGUGGGGAAUAUUGCACAAUGGGCGGAAGCCUGAUGCAGCGACGCCGCGUGCGGGAUGACGGCCUUCGGGUUGUAAACCGCUUUCGCCUGUAACGAAGCGUGAUUGACGGUAAUGGGUAAAGAAGCACCGGCUAACUACGUG
Molecule: ribosomal RNA, 468 nt
Filed under: uncultured bacterium
Lineage: Bacteria
Description: partial 16S ribosomal RNA
Rfam family: Bacterial small subunit ribosomal RNA
Source: RNAcentral